AGCUCAAAUUUGAAAGCUGGCCUUCGGGUCCGCAUUGUAAUUUGUAGAGGAUGCUUUGGGGCAGCCGCCUGUCUAAGUUCCUUGGAACAGGACGUCAUAGAGGGUGAGAAUCCCGUAUGUGACAGGACAUGGCACCCUAUGUAAAGCUCCUUCGACGAGUCGAGUUGUUUGGGAAUGCAGCUCUAAAUGGGAGGUAAAUUUCUUCUAAAGCUAAAUACCGGCGAGAGACCGAUAGCGCACAAGUAGAGUGAUCGAAAGAUGAAAAGCACUUUGGAAAGAGAGUUAAAAAGCACGUGAAAUUGUUGAAAGGGAAGCGCUUGCAAUCAGACUUGUUUUGACUGUUCGGCCGGUCUUCUGACCGGUUUACUCAGUCUGGACAGGCCAGCAUCAGUUUUGGCGGCCGGAUAAAGGCUCAGGGAAUGUGGCUCUCACUUCGGUGGGAGUGUUAUAGCCCUGGGUGUAAUACGGCCAGCCGGGACUGAGGUCCGCGCUUCGGCUAGGAUGCUGGCGUAAUGGUUGUAAGCGACCCGUCUUGAA
Molecule: ribosomal RNA, 537 nt
Filed under: Aureobasidium thailandense
Lineage: Eukaryota; Fungi; Ascomycota; Dothideomycetes; Dothideales; Saccotheciaceae
Description: partial large subunit ribosomal RNA
Rfam family: Eukaryotic large subunit ribosomal RNA
Source: RNAcentral